This 253-nucleotide ribosomal RNA is filed under the name uncultured bacterium. Its description in RNAcentral is "partial 16S ribosomal RNA". It matches the Rfam family "Bacterial small subunit ribosomal RNA", at positions 524 to 776 of the family's 1533-position model. The record is from RNAcentral.
UACAGAGGGUGCGAGCGUUAAACGGAAUUACUGGGCGUAAAGCGCACGUAGGUGGCGACGUAAGUCGGGUGUGAAAGCCCCGGGCUCAACCUGGGAUUUGCAUUCGAGACUCUACGACUAGAGGGUAGGCGGAGAAAACGGAAUUCUACAAGUAGCGGUGAAAUGCGUAGAUAUGUGGAAGAACACCAGUGGCGAAGGCGGUUUUCUAGCUUAUUCCUGACGCUGAGGCGCGAAAGCAAGGGGAGCAAACAGG